RNAcentral lists this long non-coding RNA (1038 nucleotides) under Apteryx rowi (Okarito brown kiwi). Its description in RNAcentral is "lncRNA (ENSARWG00000015535.1)". The record is from RNAcentral. Lineage: Eukaryota; Metazoa; Chordata; Aves; Apterygiformes; Apterygidae.
AUGCACGGCUUGCGCCGGCGGUGUGGACAAAAGCAGACGCGUGCUGUGCCACCACCUGAAGAGCAGGUUAYUGUGUUAAUUUUCACGUUCGCUUUGAUACUCUUGGCUUGCAUGGAAGGUGCCUGUCGAUGCACUCACUGCUGCCCGUGCAUACACAAGACCAUGACCACUGCCCUGGAGAAGCAUCUUGCGUUCAGAAGGACACACGACCGUGCACGAAGCAUUAAAAUGACCCGUAUCCUAGUUAUGACCACUCCGGCGCUGCUCCGCUCCUGCGAGGGAUGCGGGAAUGAUCCCCAGUCGUGCUCGGGCUUUGCUCYGCUGGGAAAUGAGGAGGGCUGCGUUCGUUCCCUGCGGGAAUCCGGGUUGUGCCGAGCGGGAAGGAGCCAGGAUAAACUCCUCAACGCUAGCAGAACUUCAAGCUGAUCAAAGAAACAAACACUUUUAAUGAAACAUAUGCAAGAUACUUAGAAGGAGAAGAUUCACAAUGCAUCUGCUGCGGGACCAGAAGGCUUAUCAGAAGUGUGAAGUAGGAGGAGAAAAAUUACUAGUGUAUGAUGCCAGAGAAGAUUACAGAAAUAUUAAGCAGAAGGAACGUAAACACAUGCAGCAGGCGACGAGCGGCGCGCGUCACCCCCUGCACGAAGAGGCUCCGCCGUGCAAAGCGGCCCCAGAGCGCCGGCUAAGCAGCAGCGCGGUGCCCGGGCCUCCCRGGUUUGCACGGGGAGAGCUGCGCGCCGAAGGAGCAGCCCCGCGCCGCCUGCGCCUGGCCUGCUCUCCUGUUCACCCUGGUCCCUACUGAUGACCUCGUAGGCCAGGUGCGUAGCGGGGCCCUUUCCCUCCCAGGAGGUCCUGCAGCUCGUGGGCUCGCGCCGCCUUCAACCCGGCUACUGCAAAGCCUGCGCGCGAUCGCAAUGCAAACGCCACGCGGGAAGAGGGCCGUGCCGUCGGUGCCAAACGUCGGGGAAACGGAGGAGUGGUGCAACGAUCAUUUAGCUGCAUUUUCCUUACGGAAUAAAAACUUCAAAGUACUACCCA